GAAACGGCUACCACAUCUAAGGAAGGCAGCAGGCGCGUAAAUUACCCACUCCCAGUUCGGGGAGGUAGUGACGAAAAAUAACAAUACAGGACUCAUAUCCGAGGCCCUGUAAUUGGAAUGAGUACACUUUAAAUCCUUUAACAAGGACCAAUUGGAGGGCAAGUCUGGUGCCAGCAGCCGCGGUAAUUCCAGCUCCAAUAGCGUAUAUUAAAGUUGUUGCGGUUAAAACGUUCGUAGUUGAACUUGUGCUUCAUACGGGUAGUACAACUACAAUUGUGGAUUGUACAUUACCUUAUGUAUGCAAGCGUAUUAUCGGUGGAGUUCUUAUAUGUAAUGGUACUUGUAUUGUUAUAUAUACCUCCUAUUUAAACCUGCUUCAGUGCUCUUCAUCGAGUGCUGUUGUGGGCCGAUACAAUUACUUUGAACAAAUUAGAGUGCUUAAAGCAGGCUCCAAAUGCCUGAAUAUUUUGUGCAUGGAAUAAUGAAAUAAGACUUCUGAUCUACUUUCAUUGGUUUUUAGAUCAAGAUGUAAUGAUUAAUAGAAGCAGUUUGGGGGCAUUAGUAUUACGACGCGAGAGGUGAAAUUCUUGGACC
Molecule: ribosomal RNA, 594 nt
Filed under: Allograpta calopus
Lineage: Eukaryota; Metazoa; Arthropoda; Insecta; Diptera; Syrphidae
Also listed under: 2 other names
Description: SSU rRNA
Rfam family: Eukaryotic small subunit ribosomal RNA
Source: RNAcentral